Molecule: long non-coding RNA, 4264 nt
Organism: Lolium rigidum
Lineage: Eukaryota; Viridiplantae; Streptophyta; Magnoliopsida; Poales; Poaceae
Exons: 9
Source: RefSeq, a predicted model, not a curated record
GUGUUGCUGGCAAAUUUGGAUUUUUCCAUCGGGAAUCUAGCGAAGUUUUGUUGCAUGGGUUUCAAAUUUGACCAAAUUCUGAGUAAGACCAGAUUUAUUUAAGUUUAUAAGUAUGUGUUGUGCGUAAUUAUCCUCCUUUCGGUGGUGCUAGCCUCCCCAAGCUGCUGGUGGCGUCCAUCUGGAGCUUAUGACAUCCUCGAACUGUUGUUGGCCACAACAACCUGACGUCCUCAAGUUAUAUGCAUCUGCUAGAUUCCCUCUUCUUUUAAUUCCAAGAAAUCCGAGACCAAACUGGUGACUUGUGGCAUUGUGUGGUAAGAACUAGUUUUAGCUAUUAGCUAUGAAACUGUAGUUGAUUUAAAUUUUGUUGACAUGGUGAUGCAAUUCGGAGCAGGAGUAGGUGUUGUCAUAUUUUGCUGUGCCUAGGCUUGUACAUGAUAAGUGGACUGUACUCUUUUUUGUUCACAAAUAGUGUUAAAAUGAAGUUGUUGACAAGUGAGACUAUUAUUGAACUCCUGAGGUUGUUUGGAGCUACCACUGGACUGCAUACUAACAUUCUCAAAAGCGAAGCUACUCCCAUCCGUUGCAGUGAUUAGCAGCGACAGAUUAUUGCGCAGACCUUGCAUUGCCCACUUAAGAAUUUUCCUAUUGUUUACCUUGGAGUUCCUCUCUCAAUCUGGAAACUGCGAGCAGAAGACUUUGCAGCCCCUCAUUGACAAACUUCAUGAUAAGCUGUCAGGUUGGCGUGCAGUUUUGUUGUCCAAGGGUGAUAAAUUGGUGCUUGUAGUCUGUGCUCUAAGCAGCCCCAAUUCAUACAAUGUGCUAGCGACUGACAUGCCAAAGCUGAUUAAGGAUGAUGUCAUCAGAGAUGUUCAUGAUGGUUGCCGACUAACUCUGGUUGUCCAGAGGGAGUUGAUCUCGAGGAAGACCCUCGGGAAUUCGGCGGUGAAAUUUGAGUUCUAGGCCGAGGUGUCCAAACUCAUGGACAUCAUCAUCAACUCACUCUACUGCAACAAGGACAUCUUCCUUAGGGAGCUCAUAUCCGAUGCAUCUGAUAUUAAGUUGGAUAGCGAGAACAAGAUUCUCUCCAUUGGGGAUAGGGGUGCUGGUAUGACCAAGGAAGUUCUGAUUAAGAAACUAGGAACCACUAUGAAAUCUGGAACUUCAAUCUGGAACUUUAGGUGCUGCUAUUUUCUAGUUAUUGUUGAGCUUUAAGCUUCCAUGCAAAGAUGCAGACUGGAGGUGACCUCAAUCUCAUCGGGCAGUCUGGUGUUUGCUUUUACUCACUAUAAUGGCUUACUAUGUUUAAGUUGGCAGCAAACAAUAUGUAUGGGAGUCCAAAGCUGAUGGAUCAUCCACUAUCUCGGAGGAUACAUGAAAUGAACCCCUCAGCCGUCGAACUGAGACCAAAUUACAUCUCCGCGAUGAGGCUAAGGAGUACCUGGAGGAAGGCAAGCUAAGUGUAUCACCAUAUUAAAAAAAUUAUGUUGUUAUUACGGUUCAACACUUGAUAUGUGCACAGAGGUACUUGUAGACUGGUAUAUGGUGUCUUUACAGCAUCCACAAUGGGCGCUUACACACAGGCCCUAGGGAUUAAUCCCGACAGUUUUGCCCAAUUCCCGCUUAUUUUCCUGGCAUUGGCGCUAUAUUAAGAGCCCGGCGCUUAAAUACUUAGUACGAGAUACAACUUUCAGUCUGCCGGUUCUUGGCCGCACGUGUAACCAACUCAGUGAGCGUCUACUUUAGCGUCAUGGCGUUGUGGACGCUCUUAUAGAAGCGCAGUGGAUCUCAAUCACACUAAAGGCUCUGCUUAACACUGCACUGUGAUGGCUUUUCAAACCAGUUUACCAUGUCUACAUUUUGGAUGUGACUAGCAGAUACUAUUUUGUGAACUGUUUGCUAGAAUUAGUGCAGCUCCAUGUAUAACUAGAUUCUACGGCAUAUUGUAACACAUCACACCUCACGAAAAAACUACGGUUUGAAACAAGCUUUUUUCUGGCUUAGCUUGUGCUGAUGAUGCAGUUCUAUAACCGCAUGGCUUUACCAUGAAUUGCACGCGCUGGUUAGAUUUGAAAAUUAUUUUCAAAGGUAAUUGCAUGGAGAGGAGUUCCUACCAGCAAAUCGGCCAGGUAGAACUAGAAGAGGAGUUCGUACUCCAAACUUGAGUUCAGUACAUGGUAAAUAUUUGUGUUAUAUGCUUAAGUAUGACCUGCUAUAUGCUAGAACUGGUGUGAUCUGGAAUUAAAACUUGCUUGACAUUCUUAAUCUCUUUUGUAAAAUUGCAAGGUAUUUUCUACUUAGAUCACUGGGUAUAUAUUAAGAAAACAUCUAGAAUGCUAUGUUCUUUGCGUUGAUUGCAGCUAUAACGUCAUUACAUUGGCUAUAUACGGUACUUGAACUGGAAAAUGAGUAAUCUACCUAUGUAUGUUGUCCAUAAGUGGUAAAGUUUAUCUCAGGAAAGAGUAGUGACAGUACCAGGGAUUUGGCUUGUUUGAUAUUGUUUGUUUGGUAUAAGUUAUUCACUCAUCGUACAUGAAUUUAUUGCUAACUGUUAAGAAAAGAAUCUGGUUUCCCUUUUUAUCUAGUAAUAUUUUUGAACUGGAAGUUAGAUUGUUGUUUGUUUGAACGCUUUGCUUUCUCUGAUCUAUCAAUUGGCUUGUUUAAAUCGAAAUAUUUUUUUUGAAUCGAAACUUAGUUCCCUGUUUGUUGUGGUGUCCUAUAGACGUCCUGGUUCUACCGUAUCGUGUGGAUGUAAAUCGAAAUCAUCCUCCGAAAAUAUUGUUGCUAAUACUGGUCUGCUGACCAUCAUGUUUUUGUUUUUGUUCCUGGAUAUUGUGGAGGACUAUGCAGGCUUUAAAGGCGUCCGGGCUCCUGUGGUGCGCUGCUGCCAUGCUGGCCACAUGUGGCCCAUGUGUGAUUUAUUAUUGAACUAACAUGUAAUGUUGAGUGGUAUUGGACCUUGUAUCUUCAAUUUGUUUGCAGUGUGCUAAUUAACCUUUCAAGAAGCUCAAGGUUGCACCAGCUGUGGAAGAGAAGCUAUGCUAGUCAUUGUAGAUCUGCAAGCAAGCCUGUGUAUGAAUGCUGGCUUGUUCUUGCACUAGCUGGCACUGCAUGCUCUCAUGUCAGGUUGCAAGGGGGGCGGGACAGCCCGCUAGGCCGCAACGCCGCCCCGCAAAAAAGGCCGAAGCGGUGCCGCUGGGCUGACCGCGUCGCCUCUAGCGGGCCGAAGCAGUCAGGCCGCAUUGACCACCAACAUCCCGCAGUCCCGCAAAUCGCUCUUCCCGUGAAAAAACUGUAUCUCUCGAUGGGGAAACCCCUCCCGGCGGCGGCUCAGCUCCACCGCCCCUGAGAUCUUCCUCCACCGCCCCUGAGAUCUUCCUCCACCUCCCCCGAGAUCUUCCUCCGCCCCACCUGCUCGUACUGAUGUUGGGGUCGACGGCGGUAGUGCAUCCAUCUCAGGACUGCCCGGUCGGGAUGGUCGACGGCGGCGGAGCCUCCAUCUCGGGACUGCCCGGCCAGGAACCUCCACCGCCUCCCUCACGCGCUGAAGAGGAUGGUUCAUCACCAUCAACUGGAGCUGGCCUUUCAUCACCGUCAACUUCGGCAAGGCCAUCCUCGUUGCCCCCUUUUCUGCACUCCAAGAACAAAGGGCAUCUGUCAGCUGGAGAAAUCGCUGCUUCGACCCAAGUCCAAGAUCAACAUGAAAGACCUGCGAAAUCCCUGUCAAUGAAAGUUGUAGCUGCACCUACAAAUGGAAAAUCCCGAGAUCCAAGCCAAGGCCCCCCUAGGAUGUGUUCAAGGCAAGACUACAAGGUCAAGGAUCAACAACUAGGUACAUGGAAAAUCUAAUUAUGUAAGGAGUGAAAAGAGUUCUCCAGUGCAGCAUCAGAGUCCUGAAGGUCUUUUUCCCACUGCACUUGAUACAUCACCCACCACAAACUCUGAAGCUCUUUGCUUUCUUCUAUUGCUUCACAACUAGUCACUAGUUGUACACUAGUCACUAGUCAAUACUGUUGUGCAACUUGGUUUUAUUCUAUAUCACCAUGUUCCUAUAUUUCCCAUCGAUCAGCUAGCAAUGGUUAAGUUAACCAUCUAGAUAAAAUUUCUGUGUGAUUUGGCAUUUAGAAGUAUUUACAUUCCUAAAGAUGUAAAGAUGUAAUGGUUAAGCAUUCAGAGUUAUUAUUAAGCAAUAUUAAGUGUGAUGUAAUAUUAAGCAUUCAGAAUUAUUUAUAUUUAUAAAGAUCAACCAGCGAUCAAUCAGCUA